RNAcentral lists this ribosomal RNA (292 nucleotides) under uncultured bacterium. RNAcentral's name for it is "partial 16S ribosomal RNA". It matches the Rfam family "Bacterial small subunit ribosomal RNA", at positions 505 to 796 of the family's 1533-position model. The record is from RNAcentral.
GUGUCAGCAGCCGCGGUAAGACGAACUGUGCGAACGUUAUUCGGAAUCACUGGGCUUACAGGGUGCGUAGGCGGCCUGUUAAGUAGGGUGUGAAAUCCCCCGGCCCAACCGGGGAAUGGCGCUCUAAACUAGCAGGCUUGAGUGAGCUAGGGGUGCAUGGAACUUCCAGUGGAGCGGUGAAAUGUGUUGAUAUUGGAAGGAACACCGGAGGCGAAAGCGAUGCACUGGGGCUUAACUGACGCUGAGGCACGAAAGCCAGGGUAGCGAACGGGAUUAGAAACCCCUGUAGUCC